Molecule: ribosomal RNA, 497 nt
Filed under: uncultured bacterium
Lineage: Bacteria
Description: partial 16S ribosomal RNA
Rfam family: Bacterial small subunit ribosomal RNA
Source: RNAcentral
GACGAACGCUGGCGGCGUGCCUAAUACAUGCAAGUCGAGCGAACGGACGAGAAGCUUGCUUCUCUGAUGUUAGCGGCGGACGGGUGAGUAACACGUGGAUAACCUACCUAUAAGACUGGGAUAACUUCGGGAAACCGGAGCUAAUACCGGAUAAUAUUUUGAACCGCAUGGUUCAAAAGUGAAAGACGGUCUUGCUGUCACUUAUAGAUGGAUCCGCGCUGCAUUAGCUAGUUGGUAAGGUAACGGCUUACCAAGGCAACGAUGCAUAGCCGACCUGAGAGGGUGAUCGGCCACACUGGAACUGAGACACGGUCCAGACUCCUACGGGAGGCAGCAGUAGGGAAUCUUCCGCAAUGGGCGAAAGCCUGACGGAGCAACGCCGCGUGAGUGAUGAAGGUCUUCGGAUCGUAAAACUCUGUUAUUAGGGAAGAACAUAUGUGUAAGUAACUGUGCACAUCUUUACGGUACCUAAUCAGAAAGCCACGGCUAACUACGUG